GCAAUCAAGAUAUCCUUAACAAUAACAUGUACUAAAUCUCCAAAGUAUUUUUGUUUUUCUUUUGAAAACAUUUCUUCCAAACAAUUAACAGAUUACAGAAGUAUUGUGGCUUUUGCAAUUGUCAGUCUAGUUUAAAAAAAACAGUCAUUAUUUAUAAGAAUGUCUGCACGAAUGAUGAAUUAUUCAUAGUAAAGGUAAAUAGCGGUAUUGAGAUUAGCACUGUUCGUUAUCAAAUUUCGUCGUGGAUGCACUAACCGAUUGAAAAUGGCAGCUCGUGCUUUAAAGUGCAAAUUCAUUGACCAUUAACAAUGGUACACACGGUUAGACACUACAGUAAACCCCAGAGACAGACAUGUUAAGGAGAUAAGCAAGGGUCAACCAUGAUCAUUCAAAUGACGUCUGACUGAGAACAUUCUGAGUGUGGGAUUUCGGCAUGAAUCCGCAAAAUUUCACCUUGCUGAGUAAUUAACAGAUGGCUGUUAUAAUAGAAUCCGGAUAGAAAUGGAAUCGAUGGCGACUCCGCGUUGAUCUUUUUAUCAAAAGACAUUUUUUUAAUCAACCGUCAGUUGACUAGACCCAUUAUGUUCCUGCAUUCUUUAUCAUGAUUCAGGACUGAAAAGUUAAUGAUCGGUAUUGAUAUAUCGAUAUACAAGUGUAUAAAGAUUAACGACACGUGGGCAGAUAUUUUAAGGGAAGAAAAAUAUCGUACGUAUCCACUGUGAUAUCAUGGCUAAAGAUGAACAACAUUCGUUAUUUGCAUGCCCUGUUUAUACAGGGGCGGAUCCAGCACUGUGAUAUCAUGGCUAAAGAUGAACAAAACUCGUUAUUUGUAUAUCCUGUUUAUAACCAACUUCUAUGUGAAUAUUUUUGCAAAUUUGGAUAAUGCAUGCAUGUCUGACAACGUUCUUAACCCAGCAGAUGAAAAAUCAACCAGAGCUAUUUGUUACUAUACACGAGAUGCAAUUAUUGUCAGACAAUUGGUUUAACAACACUGAACAAAUAUUUACCCCCGUUUUAUUUUUGCCCCUUUCACCCUCGUUAAUGGGCGAAUUUGAGGUUAAGGAUUCUGUGUCUGGGCGAAUUCAAAAUAGGACGAAAUCGUUGCAAAUGUAGAAGGGCGGGAAAAAAAAGAAGAAGAAAAAACUCAGGGUGACAAUAACGCUUUACACAAUGUUUGUCCACGUAUAUAACCUGAGCUACAUACGGUUUCUAUCAAAGAAAUAUGAAUUGGUGAUUAAAUCCAACAACCCUAGCUUCACCAUGAUCACCCUAAAUUUACUUUGUGAUUGUUGUACUUUGUGAUGGUUUUAUUUUGUGAUUGUUGUACUUUCUGUUGGUUUUAUUUUGAGAUUAUUGUACUUUGUGAUUGUUGUACUUUCUGUUGGUUGUACUUUGUGAUUGUUGUACUUUGUGAUUGUUGUACUUUGUGAUUGUUGUACUUUCUGUUGGUUUUACUUUGUGAUUGUUGUACUUUCUGUUGGUUUUAUUUUGUGAUUGUUGUACUUUGUGAUUGUUGUACUUUCUGUUGGUUGUACUUUGUAAUUGUUGUACUUUGUGAUUGUUGUACUUUCUGUUGGUUUUACUUUGCGAUUGUUGUACUUUCUGUUGGUUUUAUUUUGUGAUUGUUGUACUUUGUGAUUGUUGUACUUUCUGUUAGUUUUACUUUGUGAUUGUUGUACUUUGUGAUUGUUGUACUUUCUGUUGGUUGUACUUUGUGAUUGUUGUACUUUGUGAUUGUUGUAAUUUCUGUUGGUUUUACUUUGCGAUUGUUGUAGUUUGUGCGAUUUUUUUUUUACUUUUUGAUUAUUUGUUUUUAUUCUAGGUUGGUUGUACUUUGUGAUUGUUGUACUUUGUGAUUGUUGUACUUUCUGUUGGUUUUACUUUGUGAUUUUUUUUACUUUGUGAUUUUUUUUACUUUGUGAUUAUUUGGUUUAUUCUAGGUUGGUUGUACUUUGUGAUUGUUGUACUUUGUGAUUUUUGUACUUUCUGUUGGUUUUACUUUGUGAUUUUUUUUACUUUGUGAUUUUUUUUACUUUGUGAUUAUUUGGUUUAUUCUAGGUUGGUUGUACUUUGUGGUUGUUUUAUUUUGUGAUGGUUUAACUUUGUGUUUAUUUUACUCCCACAAGCAUUAAAAAUCAAGAGUUGGGCAAACACGGGCCCCUGGAUAUACCAGAGGUGGGACCAGGUGUCUAGGAGGAGUAAAAAUCCCCUUUUGAUCGGUCAUCCUCGCCAUGAGCCCUAUACCUAGAUGAAGGUAAACGGAGUAAUCCGUAGUCGGGAUCAGUGUAUAAAGAACGGUCUAACAAUCGGCACGAAACACGUCAGACAGCAUUUGAUCCAAUGAUAGGUUGUAUUGGUAAUCUAGAUCGUUAUAACGACCAUAGAAUUUGCGAAAUGCUUACUUUAAACGAGACUGUUGAAACCCCUGUAACAUUAACUUCUUUGUCAAUUACCAGCCUUAAUAUGAUAACUAAUCAUUCGCAGAACAAGCUCUUGUGUAUCGAAUCAGUUGAGAAACAUAAACACCAUAUGCAGGUGAAAAUGGAAUAUUGCUACAUAAGUAUGGGAAGUUGACGAAGAAGCUGAAAUCAUCUCUUUGUCAUAAAGUUGAGUUGUUAAGUGUGCCGUUACCAUCUAUGUUCAAUAAACUAUCUAAUGUUCUA
Molecule: long non-coding RNA, 2663 nt
Organism: Ostrea edulis (European flat oyster)
Lineage: Eukaryota; Metazoa; Mollusca; Bivalvia; Ostreida; Ostreidae
Exons: 2
Source: RefSeq, a predicted model, not a curated record